Chinchilla lanigera (long-tailed chinchilla) is the source of this 4254-nucleotide long non-coding RNA. RefSeq lists it as uncharacterized. The transcript is spliced from 3 exons. The record is from RefSeq and is a predicted model, not a curated record. NCBI's taxonomy places the organism in Eukaryota, Metazoa, Chordata, Mammalia, Rodentia, Chinchillidae.
CCUUGAGCUCACGGUAAUCCUCCUGCCUUCCCAAGAGCUGGGAACCUGUUUUAAUUUCAAAACAGCUAAGUUGCUACAUUUUCUGGGCUGGGUUUGAACUUACAUCAUCUCACAGAGGGCAAAGAUUACAGGUGUGUACUUCCACCCCUAGCUGUCCUUCCCUAAUUCUUAAAGAGUGCAAUGUCGUAUUUCAUUGUCACAGGUGUGUCAGAUGUGUAUUAUUUUCUCAAAAUUUGCUAAAAGUCACUCGAAAAGUACUUUGUUCCUUUGCAAACUGGCUUCCUUUGUGGGGAAAGUCAAUCAGUGAGGGAUGGGCACAGGUGUGCUGGGCUGUACUCCUUGUCGCUAGCCCCCCAUCCUAAGGCGCUUGGCCUGCUCUGCUGCUCUGUUGAUGAGGGAAGUUAGAACUCAUAGCCUCCUGCUCCCUGUGGGAUGAAUGCUUAAUACUGCCCUGAACAUUGUGAAUUAUAGUCACUUCUGGGGUUUCAAAAGGCUGUAAGGUUUAAGUUGGACUGCCCUCUUGAGGUUUACCAGCCUUAAGAGUGUAGUAGCUAGAUGAAAAUUACUCCCAAGAAUAUAAACAUGUAGUACUGGUUGAGAGCAAAGUCAAUCUGGUUUUAGGACAUAAGAUCCUUUGGGGAGAAUGAAAUCAUACAAAGUUACUGUGACACUUCUUUAUCUCUGUGCCACAGAGCUACAGGCUGAGUUCUAAGUGGCACCUACUUUUUGUUUGUAGUCCUCUUUUGAUGUGCUGAGCAUUUACUGCAUACAGAAUGCCACUGUAGGUUUUCAUCAGAGGUGGUGCCCAGGAUCACACCCAGGGCUUUGUGCGUGCAAGGCCAGAGUUCUACCACUGAGCCACAUCCCUAGCCCCUUCAGAUUUUUAAAAAUAGGAAAAAUGAAGUUGAAGCUAUUUAAGUAGUGUGAUGUUUUAAGUUCUUUUAAGUCAUUUUCUUAAGCAUUUCUGGUCAUAGGAUUACACUAUCGUCAUAAAACAUGUUAACUGACCUUAUGUGGCUUAAUAGUCUGAUAUAUAGUUGAAACCUAUCCGUUCAUUUCUCUGGUUUGGAAUCCACAGAUGAGGCUUGGCCAUGUCUAGCUGUAAUGGACAGUACAAGGCUAACACUCUUCGUUCUUCAAGACCUUAAGCCUAGAUACUUCUCUAGUCACACACAUAAAUACAGAACACAGACUGAGGAGAAAUUGAAUGUAGAGCCAGGAGGAAGUUGCUGGAUUUGGGUGAAGGGAAACGAAGCAAAACCAUCUGGCUUCCAUUGUAGGCUGGGUGGGUAUUUGAAAGGGAAAGCUUGCUGGGAAGUAAAGGUUUAAAAUCAACUGGUAAACGAGAGUGAGGUUAGUGUCACACCCAAGAAGAGCAAAAGUACCAUUGGACAAGUGGCUUGAGAAAGAGUAGUUUGGGCAAUUUGUAGACAAAGCAUGAGACCUGAAGUAGACCCAGAGACCAGUGUCUUGAUCCAAGUAUCACAUGAAAUUAGGAGCAGAAAGCUGGAAGUCUGUAUGAGGACAGAGAAGGAAUGUUUUGUUUGUGUUUGGGUAUAUGGAAAAAUUAAAGCAAGCUUCUUCAAAAAGGAAAUUAAACUCUGAAGUGCUAUCUGCCAAUUUCCUCAUCUCUAGAGAAAUACCCAGGGGUCAUUUAGCCUUAUGGAUCAGUAAGUUCGCAGGGACUUUUGGGGAGGUUGGGGGCUCCAGUUCUGCAAAGCAGAUGUGUAGUCUUAGGUCCACAUCAGCCUAGAGUGUGACAUUCCGCCUCUCCAACUUUGGUUUCUUUACCUGCAAUAUAGGGUAGUCGUCACCCUGUGGCCUGCGUUCCGCAGUGGCCUGUUGCAUUGAAAGCUCUGAAAGGUUUGCCAUCACGGAUACAGGGACUAGAACACUUAACUGGUCUAUUGAGAGGAGUAACCCACAAAACCACCAAUGCUUGGCUCUAUGUAAUAAGCAUUCCACAAACACUAGCUAGUAAAAGACACCCAAGAAUGUUUCUGAGAUACAAACUACGACAACACAAAGGCACCCAAGUUACAUGAAGAAAACCUUGUCCAUAUGAGUGUGAGAGCUUCAGAGGAAUGGGAAAGAAGACACACUCUGAAGGCCAAACAGAAACUGUUUAAGAUGCCUCAAAUAUGCCUGAUUAGUGACCGAUCACCAAGAUUGCUGCGGUCCCAUCUGAUCAGCAUGACAGCAUCAGUAGCUUGUACAGGCUUGGCAUUUGGCUGUGUUGCAGAUACCUGAAUUUCAACUACAGCCAUCCAAUUAGCACAGUAGCAAAUCCUGUGUAUCCCAGCGAGGACCAGCCCACUCACCAGUUGUUCAGGGCUGGUGAACAAGGGAACAGUAAACCAGUCAUUAUGUUCUUGGACAGACUGGCCGCUUGACCUUUCCAGCGAAGUCCUGACAAGUUAGCAGGGACAGCAGCGUUUCCAUUGCCAGUUGCCAUCGAAUGGAGUGAGUGGAGACAUGGAGAGAACUGAGAUGCCAACAGUGACAGCUGUGCACACCUGUAAUCCCAGCACUCGGGAGGCUGAGGCAGGAGGAUCGUUGCAAGCUUGAGGCCAGCCUGAACUGCAAAGCGAGAUCCUGUCUCAAAAAAGACCAAAAAAGAAGAAAUGAAAAGAAAUUCUGUUCUACAGAAAUCCACAAGCCUUCCACAAAUAACAGCCAACCAGGAAAGCAACUGCACAUACAGGGUGCAGUCAUUUACAAAGUAAUUGAUUUCUCAGCACUUUUUUUUUUUUUUUGGUUCCAGGAAUCGAACUCAAGACCUUACACUUGCCAGGCAAAUGCUUGUGCCACUUAGCUAUAUCCCUGGCCCCUUUUCAGCGUUUUUUAACCUUUUAGUUUUUGGGUAGGUGGAAUAGUGUAAACAGUUCUAUGCAUGUGUGUCUUUUCAGUUUUAUGGUGAAUCUAAAACUACUCUUAAAAAAAAAAUUCCAGCACUCUGAAAUGCUGACCUCUGGACCACUGCCCAGGUGAAAUUGUCCCGGUUCCUCCUGGUUUUCCUCCCCAUUUAGGAAUGUGCAUCUUCUUUCAUCUUUACUUUUCUUUCAACCAAAUGAUAUUGAAACAUUGCAUUCAUUACUUGGUCUUAUAAACUUCCUAUGCUAAUACAUUAGAGCAGUCCACUCAUUCCUCCUGUCUCAGCCCCAAUUCUCAUCUUUCAUCCAGCUUAUUGAAAAAACAUUGUAUUCCCCUUAGUUGAAAAUACAGAAGUGUGAAGCCAGGAACACAGGAAAAAAGCGCGUGGGAAAUCCCUGCUGUGAUGGGCACGGGGCUGUGGGAGCCGGCACACUGGGCUAUCGGCCUGGAACACUUUCCAGUGAGCCACGUGCCGGCCCUGCCUCCCGCAGGGAGGUGUUCUUCACAGGACACAGAGGGGAGCAGUGCGGCCUCAUUGUGCCAAAGGAGCAGCAGGGGGCACGUCCCCGAAACCUGGUGCCAGUUCCUUAGCUGCUACCCCAUGGCCACGCACCUGGGGAGGCCUGUCCUGGUUUGAAAUUGUUUCUCUACAGUAGCUAAUGUUCGUACAUCUGGUUAAAUUUUUCCUUUUUCUGAAGAUAAAAGUGGAUAUACAGUGAAAGAUGCCUAAUUCCCAGUCUCCUCCCCAGAGACAACUGAUCGGUCUGUGUCCUUACUAGGAUAAAUGUUGAUCCUACUUUCCUCAGACACUAAUUACUGCAUAGACCGCAACAUCUUGAUUUAGGUAAGUAUAUUAACCUAUCCUGAAUAAUAAAUCUUGAGGAUCAGCCUGUAUUUCAUGUACAUAUUGCUGCCUUACUCUUUUUAAGGAAAGUGCAGUAUUUUGUAUGAUUUUGUUGUGGGACACAAGGCCGGCUGCUUGCUGCACAAUAGGUCACUUGCGCCAAGAGUCAAGGCGUUGAGGCAAGGAAGGCAACUAUAGAAAAGGCAGCAAGACAAGCUGGAGGGGCUGGGGAUUUAGCUCAGUGGCAAAAGCGCCUGCCUGGCAAGUGCAAGGUCGUGAGUUUGGUUCCCGGUACCGGAGAAAAACCAAAAAAAAAGAAAAAAAAGAAGCUGGAAGACUCUUACCCGAAGUCCUUCUUGCCAGGAAGCAAGGCAGUGGGGGUUCCCAGACCGUGGGUGCCUCACCCAGCACAUGGGCCAGCGGAGCAAUCUGACAUACGUUGCCUAGUCAUGAGGUGCUUUUCAGUUCUCUCCACAUACAGUUCAAGGCCAGCCUGGGUUAUAUAGUAGUGAGUUCAAGGCCAGACUGAACUACAU